GCUCAGGAUGAACGCUAGCUACAGGCUUAACACAUGCAAGUCGAGGGGCAGCAUGGUCUUAGCUUGCUAAGGCCGAUGGCGACCGGCGCACGGGUGAGUAACACGUAUCCAACCUGCCGUCUACUCUUGGACAGCCUUCUGAAAGGAAGAUUAAUACAAGAUGGCAUCAUGAGUCCGCAUGUUCACAUGAUUAAAGGUAUUCCGGUAGACGAUGGGGAUGCGUUCCAUUAGAUAGUAGGCGAGGUAACGGCCCACCUAGUCUUCGAUGGAUAGGGGUUCUGAGAGGAAGGUCCCCCACAUUGGAACUGAGACACGGUCCAAACUCCUACGGGAGGCAGCAGUGAGGAAUAUUGGUCAAUGGGCGAGAGCCUGAACCAGCCAA
RNAcentral lists this ribosomal RNA (382 nucleotides) under uncultured Bacteroidales bacterium. RNAcentral's name for it is "bacterial SSU rRNA". It matches the Rfam family "Bacterial small subunit ribosomal RNA", at positions 22 to 395 of the family's 1533-position model. Lineage: Bacteria; Pseudomonadati; Bacteroidota; Bacteroidia; Bacteroidales. The record is from RNAcentral.